This 190-nucleotide non-coding RNA is filed under the name Streptomyces atratus. The record is from RNAcentral. Lineage: Bacteria; Bacillati; Actinomycetota; Actinomycetes; Kitasatosporales; Streptomycetaceae.
UGAUAGCUUGCCGGGGCCAGUCGAACUCCACGUAAGGGGUCAGGGAAUCCGGUGCGAAUCCGGAACUGACGCGCAGCGGUGAGGGGGACGGGCGGGGCCACGGCCACUGGGACCACCCUCGGGUGUCCUGGGAAGGCGUCCCGUCCGAAGGAACCCGAGUCCGAAGACCUGCUGGCACCCGCGGCCCGGC